Vulpes vulpes (red fox) is the source of this 107-nucleotide small nuclear RNA. Lineage: Eukaryota; Metazoa; Chordata; Mammalia; Carnivora; Canidae. The record is from Ensembl.
GUGCUGACUUUGGUAGCAUGCAUACUAAAAUUAGAGUGAUAUAGAGAAUAUUGACAUGGCCCCUGCAAAAGGAUGCCAUGCGAAUCCUUAAAGCAUUCCAUAUUUUA